RNAcentral lists this unclassified non-coding RNA (211 nucleotides) under plant metagenome. RNAcentral describes it as "partial contains small subunit ribosomal RNA, internal transcribed spacer 1, and 5.8S ribosomal RNA". The record is from RNAcentral.
UUUCCGUAGGUGAACCUGCGGAAGGAUCAUUCAUAAUAAAGUGUUAUAUGGCACUUUUUAAAAAUCCAUAUCCACCUUGUGUGCAAUGUUAGAUCUCGUCAAUCUUGGCGAGAUUUUUAUACAUCAACUCGUUUUUUAACUAAUUUGUCUGAAAAAUAUUAUGAAUACUUAAUUCAAAAUACAACUUUCAACAACGGAUCUCUUGGCUCUC